This 408-nucleotide ribosomal RNA is filed under the name uncultured bacterium. RNAcentral's name for it is "bacterial SSU rRNA". It matches the Rfam family "Bacterial small subunit ribosomal RNA", at positions 34 to 447 of the family's 1533-position model. The record is from RNAcentral.
CGCUGGCGGCGUGCUUAACACAUGCAAGUCGAGCGAGAAAGCUCCUUCGGGAGUAAGUACAGCGGCGGACGGGUGAGUAACGCGUGAGAAUCUACCCUUUAGUGAAGAAUACCUCCGAGAAAUCGAAGUUAAUGCUGCAUACGUCCCUCCGGGGAGAAAGAUGGCCUCUUUGCUGUCGCUAAAGGAUGAGCUUGCGUACUAUUAGCUUGUUGGUGGGGUAAAGGCCUACCAAGGCGAUGAUGGUUAGCCGACCUGAGAGGGUGAUCGGCCACACUGGAACUUAGACACGGUCCAGACUCCUACGGGAGGCAGCAGUGAGGAAUAUUGCGCAAUGGGCGAAAGCCUGACGCAGCAACGCCGCGUGAAGGAUGACGGUCUUCGGAUUGUAAACUUCUGUUAAGUGGGAAG